RNAcentral lists this ribosomal RNA (440 nucleotides) under uncultured bacterium. Its description in RNAcentral is "partial 16S ribosomal RNA". It matches the Rfam family "Bacterial small subunit ribosomal RNA", at positions 338 to 795 of the family's 1533-position model. The record is from RNAcentral.
CCUACGGGCGGCAGCAGUGGGGGAUAUUGCACAAUGGGGGGAACCCUGAUGCAGCGACGCCGCGUGGGUGAAGAAGCGCCUCGGCGCGUAAAGCCCUGUCAGCAGGGAAGAAAAUGACGGUACCUGAAGAACAAGCCCCGGCUAACUACGUGACAGCAGCCGCGGUAAUACGGAGGGGGCAAGCGUUAUCCGGAUUUACUGGGGGGAAAGGGGGCGCAGACGGCGAUGCAAGCCAGGAGUGAAAGCCCGGGGCCCAACCCCGGGACUGCUCUUGGAACUGCGUGGCGGGAGUGCAGGAGGGGCAGGCGGAAUUCCUGGUGUAGCGGUGAAAUGCGUAGAUAUCAGGAGGAACACCGGUGGCGAAGGCGGCCUGCUGGACUGCAACUGACGUUGAGGCCCGAAAGCGUGGGGAGCAAACAGGAUUAGAUACCCCUGUAGUC